This is an RNA transcript of Camelus dromedarius (Arabian camel), 3495 nucleotides long. It is a transcript of the gene named histone H2B type 1-J, with no coding region annotated. Lineage: Eukaryota; Metazoa; Chordata; Mammalia; Artiodactyla; Camelidae. The transcript is spliced from 4 exons. The record is from RefSeq and is a predicted model, not a curated record.
ACCUAAACAACCUUACAGGCAGUUGCUAAAGCGAAAGUGCAGCGACUGCAUUUUUUAUAACCCUUAUUGGGCGCGAAAAAGAAGAUGUCUCAUUGGUUAGGAGUGCGGCUUCAUUUUUAACCAAUGAAAAAUGCGAGCUUGGGACUCUUGUAUUCUGAUUGGUCAGAACUAAUUUCUGACGUUUUCUUGAACAGCCACCAAUCAGACACAAGACUUUACUUAUUUCACCUUAUUUGCAUAAGAGAUUCUAUAUAAAAAGGACACGUUGUGCUUUCUUCUUGUUGCUCUAUCUUUUCCUGUCAUUUUUUUGUUGAGGCAAGUUGAGUUGCUGUAAUUAUGCCUGAACCGGCUAAGUCAGCCCCAGCCCCGAAAAAAGGCUCCAAGAAGGCGGUGACCAAGGCGCAGAAAAAGGACGGCAAGAAGCGCAAGCGCAGCCGCAAGGAGAGCUACUCCAUCUACGUGUACAAGGUGCUGAAGCAGGUCCACCCGGACACCGGCAUCUCGUCCAAGGCCAUGGGCAUCAUGAAUUCGUUCGUCAACGACAUAUUCGAGCGCAUCGCGGGCGAGGCGUCGCGUCUGGCGCAUUACAACAAGCGCUCGACCAUCACGUCCCGGGAGAUCCAGACGGCCGUGCGCCUGCUGCUGCCCGGGGAGCUGGCCAAGCACGCUGUGUCUGAGGGCACUAAGGCCGUCACGAAGUAUACCAGCGCCAAGUAAACAGUGAGUUGGCUGUAAACAACCCUAACGGCUCUUUUAAGAGCCACCCAUGUUCUCAGUGAGAGAGCUGGUGUAUGCUCUUUUGUAUUAAGCCUUUGUAACUCCAUUAGAGUUUUUAGUUGCGAGAUAAAGGAAUUACUGUAGCAAUCUUAUGUAGACUUUCCUGUCAUGCCAAGCGCGAGAUUCGCUAACGACAGGGACAACGGUACCUGAUCCUGGCAUAAGUCUAGAACUUCUUAUGUAAAGUAACCUUGCCCCGGGCUUUCCGUUUAUCAUUUAGGAAACUCCUACAUCUAAAAAGUCCCUACCAAUUCUGAUACCCAUUAGGUUAAUUAAUGAGGGAAGCAAUACUUUUAAAAGUUCGUAGCAAAUUCAAAUACUCCCCAGUCACCUGUCAGGGACAAAGAGUCGAACUCCUGCAGGGGAGCAGAUUUUGCGCGGGCAGUUUAAAUUUUCGCGGGGCGCGCCUGUCCUUCCCCUCCACGUCCUGAUUGGUUGCGGGCACCCGGGCAGAGACUUGAGGGUUUCAGUGCGCGGGAGGUAUAUCCGCUUCCCGCCUCCCCAGGUCCAGCGCACACACGGGCCUUCAGUAAACAUAUUCGGGGAAUGUACACUCAUUAUACUUGAAAAUAAAGAAGGAAAGAAAGGAAGAAAGAAAAUUAUUUUCCUUCACCAUCUCCAUCCCACACUAAUGUGUACAUCUAGAUAAUGAAACAACACGGGCAAGAUGUUGGUAAUUGGUGAACAUGCGUGAAGGUCACUUGAAGGGUGACAACGAGAGGAAUCACGAGUUGGCAAAGAGAGAUUCCAGUACUGGAACUAAGGGAGCAAGAAGAGAAGGAAUUUGCACAAGGGAGGAGCUCACAGCAGCUGCAGUCCCCUCCUUCCAGCUCACAGGCUGGUCAAUCAAGAAACGCUAUUGCCAUCUUGUGGCCCUUUAAGAUAAUGCAGCUAAAACUUUUGUGGUUUCUAUUAGGAAGCUUAUUGCUAGGGUUUAAUAAUUUCAUAUAUAAAUACAAUAAACAAUCUUACUUCAGCUUCCUAGUUUCUCCAUCCAUAACAAAGAACCUUGUUUAUUAGUUUCCUAUUUAUUAGUGUAUCUAGUGUAUCUAGAUGGGUAUCUAAAAUUUCUUUACACAAACAUAAAUGUAGAAAUGUGGAUUCUCUUUGCCCCUCUAACUCAAAUGGCUAAUGGCUAUGUUCUUCUCAUGGUUUCUCCUCUUGCUUUUCUCAUUAUCUAGCUUGGAACUCUUUUCCUAGUAGUAAGUAGAGUGGCUAAAACUUCUCAGCAGGUGCCCAUGAGCCAGUGACCCGAGGAGGGUUAGCCAAGGCCAAACCUGUUCCUACACUGGGAACCACAAUGGCUGCAUCUUCCCAGAAAAUAAUCCUGAUGUUUAUCUUUGAGAAGUGUGUGUCUCUUUGACGAAGUGCCCAGGGGUUGAGCCUGGUCAGGAAAGCUGUGGGGUGGCUGAAUUCCUGUUCCCUUCCUAGGAUGGGACCUCCAUGCUUUUGUAAGGAAGGACAUGGAGGUCCUAUUACAAGUAUUCAUCUUGUUAGUGAGGCCUUUGAGUGUCAUUUUUAUAACUGAGGUAAGAAGAAAAACUUCCUGAGUCUUGUCUUAUCAAAAUAAUACCUAAGAGACACAUUUUGGACAGGCAAAUUUUGCUCAUCUACAAUAACCUGUAUACCUUGUAUAUACAUGGAAGGUACCCAGAAAAACUGAAAAAAACUCCCUGAAAUGCCCCACACCAUUACACUAAAUACCAUCUUCAACUAAAGAUGAAAGCAGGUAAGGUUCUUAUGCAGAUUUAAGUCAGGUACCUUCUCUAUUGUUAAGUUUCUCUUCCUGGUAUAGAGAGGGAGACAUUCUUACAAAUGGAGACUUCCCUUAUAAAUGUAAAGCUCCCUUAUAAAAGAGUAAAUUCCACUGUGUUUAGAGCUUCUCCUGUGUCUUUUUUUUCUCAAAAAUAAUCAGCUCCAAAUAAUCAGCUCGUAUGCCAAAGAGGUGUAUUUUGGGGUCGCAUAUUUUUCUACCCUUCACUUCGCUGUGGAAGAAUCUACUUCCAAGCUCACUCAGAUAGUCUGCAGAAUUCAUUUCCUUGCAGCUUAAGGAUUGAGGGCUGAGGCUUCUUGCUGAUAGUUAGCUGGAGGUAUCUUUCAGUUCCUAGGGGCUACCCGCACUUUCUAGAGGUACCUGAAGCUCUUGCCUAGUGAGCUUUCCCUUCUUGACCACUUACACCAUGAAGCCAGCAAGAAUGCUCUCUAUAGUGAGUCUGCUAGCAAGACUGAGUCAUAUAUAGCUCAGUAUAAUCACAGAAAUGAUCCAAUCAUCUUUGUCAUAUUAUAUUAAUUAUAAGUAAGUCACAGGUCCAACUCACACUCAAGAGGAGGACAUAGACAAAAGUCUGAAAACCAGAAUUUGGAGGCUCAUUGGGAUCUGUCCACUACAUAUAUAACAUGGAUAAAUCUCAAAAUAAUUAUGCUGAAUGAAAGGAGCCAAUCAAAAUAAAGUACAUACUGAAUUAUAUUUAUACAUAACUUUAGAAAAUGCAAGCUAAUCUACAGUGACAAAAUGUGGACCAGUUGUCCUGUGGAAAUGGGGAACAUAGUGGGCAGGAGAAAAGAAUUACAAAAAGGGACAAUGAGACUUUAAGGAAGAUAGAUAAGUUCACUUUCUUGAUUGGGGUCAUGCUUUCAUGUGUAUAUAUAUGUCAAAACUCAUUAAAAUGUACUCUUUAAAUAUAUGCAGUUGAUCAUAUGCCAAUUAUACAUAAGUAA